This 375-nucleotide ribosomal RNA is filed under the name uncultured eukaryote. Its description in RNAcentral is "partial 18S ribosomal RNA". It matches the Rfam family "Eukaryotic small subunit ribosomal RNA", at positions 592 to 975 of the family's 1831-position model. The record is from RNAcentral.
CAAUAGCGUAUACUAACGUUGUUGCAGUUAAAAAGCUCGUAGUUGGAUUUGUGGCGGCAGUUGCGGUCCGUACUUUUUCGGUACUGUCGACUGCUGCCAUCCUUGGGUGGAUGCUGUGUGGCAUUAGGUUGUCGUGCAGUGGAUACCCAUCGUUUACUGUGAGAAAAUUAGAGUGUUCAAAGCAGGCUUAAGCCGUUGAAUAUAUUAGCAUGGAAUAAUGAGAUAGGACCCUGGUACUAUUUUGUUGGUUUGCGUGCCAAGGUAAUGAUUAAUAGGGACAGUUGGGGGUAUUCGUAUUCCAUUGUCAGAGGUGAAAUUCUUGGAUUUCUGGAAGACGAACUACUGCGAAAGCAUUUACCAAGGAUGUUUUCAUUA